Molecule: long non-coding RNA, 928 nt
Organism: Armigeres subalbatus
Lineage: Eukaryota; Metazoa; Arthropoda; Insecta; Diptera; Culicidae
Exons: 4
Source: RefSeq, a predicted model, not a curated record
AAUUACAAUUGCACCAGCCCUGAAUAUAGUUGUGCAUGAGCCGAUACGACAACACUAAUUCUCCAAACUACUACGCUCUCACAAAUGAGAUAGUCCAAUAUAGCACACUAGAGCCAACCGCAUCUACCUUUUGUUAGCUGCUGUCCUCCGAGGUGGUCACGAUAAAGUGAAACUCCAGCAAAGUGCACGUGAGCGAAAUAAGUUUCUAAUAAUCCCAUCAUUCCCACUGACGACGGAGUACCAUCGACGGGAAAAGCAUUAGAGGUCUAGUGUUCCACACGAUCGGUGUGCGACACACCCAACGCCAUUGCUGGACGUGCAUCUUCCAUCUAACAUUCGAAGGGCUACAAAGGAGGCAGCAGCAACACUGGUAAAACGCGGAAAGUGAUCGCCAAUCGAAGGUGAUCUAGUCAUCUCGAACGACAAGAAGGGCUCUCAAAAGAGGGCCCUAUUGUUGAGAUUGCUGACUUCUACAACAGUCUGUCGCACGUGACCAACUCGGCUGGCACACGAUUGUACAUCGCAUGGUCAUUGGAUGCGGCCAUUCAUCGCAUCGGAGACAAAUCUCGGCUCGUAGUGAGUGCGACCGAGCACACGGAUCCUGCAUACCGGCACCGGUGGAGACAGGUGUGAGGAGAUUGCAUGCUGCAUUUGUGUCGUGGUGUGAACGGUCCGAGGAGUGAUAACCCUAUCGAGGUGUAGUUCUGCGUGGUGAAGACGGAUCAUCGUUUGCUUAAGCAUGUGUGAGAGAAUGCAGUCGCAGCAUUAAAGCAACGUCCGAGCAGACGGACCACCAAAUCAAGAACGGAAACCGGCGAGGGGCGCGGGGCGUCGCCAGCUAGUGAGAGGAGAUUCUAGAGAAAACAAUAUCAGGUAUGGUAGUUCUAAGGCCUAUGUGAGAAGAGCAAUAUAGCAAUAUGAAAUGCAA